RNAcentral lists this ribosomal RNA (196 nucleotides) under Flavobacterium silvaticum. RNAcentral describes it as "Flavobacterium sp. SE-s28 partial 16S ribosomal RNA". It matches the Rfam family "Bacterial small subunit ribosomal RNA", at positions 1 to 195 of the family's 1533-position model. Lineage: Bacteria; Pseudomonadati; Bacteroidota; Flavobacteriia; Flavobacteriales; Flavobacteriaceae. The record is from RNAcentral.
UAUACGAUGAAGAGUUUGAUCCUGGCUCAGGAUGAACGCUAGCGGCAGGCUUAACACAUGCAAGUCGAGGGGUAGUGGCUUUCGGGCCAUGAGACCGGCGCACGGGUGCGUAACGCGUAUGCAAUCUGCCUCUCACUGGGGAAUAGCCCGGAGAAAUCCGGAUUAAUGCCCCAUGGUAUUUUGGUUGGGCAUCCAA